Molecule: long non-coding RNA, 778 nt
Filed under: Helianthus annuus (common sunflower)
Lineage: Eukaryota; Viridiplantae; Streptophyta; Magnoliopsida; Asterales; Asteraceae
Source: RNAcentral
UCUUCUGUAUUUAUUAACCUGACCUUUCGGGUUUGAAGGGGUAACUUUGCGAUUUGGCCCUUGAUUAUUUACAACUAAGGGCCUCGUGUUAUUUACCCGCACUGUUAAGUCCCCGGUUAACUUUGUUAAUUAUUCAGAAAGCCUUAACUUUCAUUGUUGACGCUUUUAACCCUUCUCGUACGAAUUUGAUCAUAACUUUCUCGUUUUAAAACGGAACUUCGCGGAAUUUAUAUAGUAUAUUCUAGUGAGCGUAUUUUACUGUUACAAAGCCUCGGGCACGUCAAAGGGUCACUCAGAGGUAUAAUUAAACAUGUUGACACAGUUAACCCCUGUAGCUUGUAAUCUCUCACUUUCUUCCGCGUUUCGCUUCCGUACGAUCCAUGAUUUAUUCGUUUGAAGGUACGAGCACCAUUUAGGGUUACUAUACAGUAUACUUACCCUUGUUUGACAUUUAUAACCCUUGAAUUUACAUACUUUCAAGGUUUGUCAACAUUAGUCCUUUAUUAAAUAUAAUAUGCCACGUGUAAACUUAAGACACGUGUCAAUACAUUAUUGGACAAAAAUUUCGAGGUGUUACAUUAUUAUUUAUGCGGACACGUGUCUUCUUUAUAAACGAGGUAGUUCGACACAAAAGCUUUUAACGAAUUGAAAUUUGAGCUCGAGCUAAACUCCUCUAUUUUUUUAAAAUAAUUUGUAAACUUUGUAUUUAUUGCACUCACCUUGGCUUAAAUUUUAGAUAAGCCAACUUGGCUCGACUUGUUUAUCUACGACAUGAUCU